GGAUAUGAGGGUGAUCUGGUCGUGACAUCUGUCACCCCAUUGUUUCAGCUCACCUGGCUGGCAAGGUGGUGUCCCUUUCUUCAGUCACAGCUCUGUGCACAUUCCUCCUGAAGGUACUUACUUGGUGGAAGAGGAUGGUCUUACCCACAGAUGGCUGACCAUUUUUCAGUCAGGGAUGUACAUGUAGUUGAACUGCCCUCUCAAAAAGCUCACAAAUAACUGUCAGAUAUACUGGAAAUUCAGUAUAUUGAGAAAAGAGGGAGCUAACCACAGCAUUCCAGAUUCUGUUCCUGUGAGCCUUAGAAACA
This 308-nucleotide small nuclear RNA is filed under the name Nannospalax galili (Upper Galilee mountains blind mole rat). Its description in RNAcentral is "7SK RNA (ENSNGAG00000008768.1)". It matches the Rfam family "7SK RNA". From Rfam's summary of the family: 7SK was discovered as an abundant small nuclear RNA in the mid-70s but a possible function has only recently been suggested. Two independent studies have found that 7SK RNA binds the CDK9/cyclin T complex (known as elongation factor P-TEFb). Lineage: Eukaryota; Metazoa; Chordata; Mammalia; Rodentia; Spalacidae. The record is from RNAcentral.